This 464-nucleotide long non-coding RNA is filed under the name Gallus gallus (chicken). Lineage: Eukaryota; Metazoa; Chordata; Aves; Galliformes; Phasianidae. The record is from RNAcentral.
GUGUGCCGCAGCCACAGCGGGCGCGGGAAUGGGGCGCCCUCGAAGUAGGGCGGGUAGGGCGGCAGGCUGCCGGGCGGCGCGGGCAGCAGCGGCGGCACCUGGUCGUCCCCAGGCUGCGGCUGCGUCUCACCAGGCGUGGGGUCCCUGGCAGCAGGAACACAGGCAGCGGCAGGAGGCUCCUCGGGCUUCGGGAGGGACGAUGGCUGGCAGAACAGCCCGGACUUCUUGCUGCAGUCCAGCAGCACGCCGGCGAAGCGACGCUCUCCGCAGCGCAGCGUCACCACCAGCGUGUCGUUCACCACCUGCUCCACCAGCACCGGCAGCCACGCGCCCACCCGCGGCGCCUCCGCCUCCGCCAUGCUGCCGCCGCCGCCGCUCCUCCCCCUCCCGGCGGGGCCGCGCCGCGCGAUGACCUCACGGUGCGGGCGCCCGCGGCGGCGGAGCGGCGGAGCGGAGCGCUGACG